This 253-nucleotide ribosomal RNA is filed under the name uncultured bacterium. RNAcentral describes it as "partial 16S ribosomal RNA". It matches the Rfam family "Bacterial small subunit ribosomal RNA", at positions 524 to 776 of the family's 1533-position model. The record is from RNAcentral.
UACGGAGGGAGCUAGCGUUGUUCGGAAUUACUGGGCGUAAAGCGCGCGUAGGCGGCUUUGUAAGUUAGGGGUGAAAUCCCGGAGCUCAACUCCGGAACUGCCUCUAAGACUGCAUCGCUUGAAUCCGGGAGAGGUGAGUGGAAUUCCGAGUGUAGAGGUGAAAUGCGUAGAUAUCCGGAGGAAUACCAAAGGCGAAGGCAGUGUCCUGGCUGGUAACUGACGCUCAGGUGCGAAAGCUAGGGGAGCGAACAGG